AUACGGAGGAUGCGAGCGUUAUCCGGAUUUAUUGGGUUUAAAGGGAGCGUAGGUGGGAUAUUAAGUCAGCUGUGAAAGUUUGGGGCUCGACCUUAAAAUUGCAGUUGAUACUGGUUUCCUUGAGUACGGUACAGGUGGGCGGAAUUCGUGGUGUAGCGGUGAAAUGCUUAGAUAUCACGAAGAACUCCGAUCGCGAAGGCAGCUCACCGGGCCGGAACUGACACUGAUGCUCGAAAGUGCGGGUAUCAAACAGGAUUAGAUACCCUGGUAGUCCGCACAGUAAACGAUGAAUACUCGCUGUUUGCGAUACACUGUAAGCGGCCAAGCGAAAGCGUUAAGUAUUCCACCUGGGGAGUACGCCGGCAACGGUGAAACUCAAAGGAAUUGACGGGG
Molecule: ribosomal RNA, 393 nt
Filed under: uncultured bacterium
Lineage: Bacteria
Description: partial 16S ribosomal RNA
Rfam family: Bacterial small subunit ribosomal RNA
Source: RNAcentral